ACGGCUAUAUUACUUUAAUACACGAGUUCUCGUACGAUCAGCGAAAUUAAGCAAUGUCAAGCUUAGUCAGUACCUACAUGGGGGACCGCUUGGUAAUACCAGGUGCUGUAA
Non-coding RNA from Acanthosepion pharaonis, 111 nucleotides. NCBI's taxonomy places the organism in Eukaryota, Metazoa, Mollusca, Cephalopoda, Sepiida, Sepiidae. The record is from the annotation of a GenBank genome assembly.